RNAcentral lists this ribosomal RNA (1855 nucleotides) under Hevea brasiliensis (rubber tree). Its description in RNAcentral is "SSU rRNA". It matches the Rfam family "Eukaryotic small subunit ribosomal RNA". Lineage: Eukaryota; Viridiplantae; Streptophyta; Magnoliopsida; Malpighiales; Euphorbiaceae. The record is from RNAcentral.
ACUGGUUGAUCCUGCCAGUAGUCAUAUGCUUGUCUCAAAAGAUUAAGCCAUGCAUGUUGUAAGUAUGGAACUAAUUCAGACUGUGAAACUUGGAAUGGUCUCAUUAAAUCAGUUAUAGUUUGUUUGAUGGUAUCUGCUACUUCGAUAACGCGUAGUAAUUCUAGAGCUAAUACCGUGCAACAAACCCCUGACUUCUGGAAGGGAUGCAUUAUUAGAUAAAAGGUCGACGCGGGCUCUGCCGUUGCUCGAUGAUUUCAUGAUAACUCCGACGGAUCGCACGGCCAUGGCGUGCGGCGACGCAUCAUUCAAAUUUCUGCCGCUAUCAACUUUCGAUGGUAGGAUAGAGGCCUUACCAUGGUGGUGACGAGUGACGGAGAAUUAGGGUUCGAUUCCGGGAGGGAGCCUGAGAAACGGCUACCACAUCCAAGGAAGGCGCAGGCGCGCAAAAUACCAAAUCCUGACACGGGGAGGUAGUGACAAUAAAUAACAAUACGGGCUCUUCGAGUCUGGUAAUUGGAAUGAGUACAAUGCUAAAUCCCUUAACGAGGAUCAUUGGAGGGCAAGUCUGGUGCCCCAAGCAGCCGCGGUAAUUCCAGCUCCAAUAGGCGUAUAUUUAAGUUGUUGCAGUAAAAAGCUCGUUUAAGUUGGAUCCUUGGUGUUGGGUCGAACCGGUCCGCCUCUGGCGGUGGUGCACCUGUCGGUCUUCGUUCCUUCCUGCCGGCGAUGCGCUCCUGGCCUUAACUGGCCGGGUCGUGCUCCGGCUGCCUGUUACUUUGAAGAAAUUAGAGUGCUCAAAGCAACCUAGCGCUCUGGAUUACAUUAGCAUGGAUAACUCAAUAGGAUUUCGGUCCUAAUUUGUUGGCCUUAACGGAUCGGCAGUAAUGAUUAACAGGGACAAGUCGGGGGCAUUCGUAUUCAUAGUCAGGGUAAAAUUCUUGGAUUUUAAUGAAAGGACGAACAACUGCGAAAGCAUUUGCCAAGGAUGUUUUCAUUAAUCAAGAACGAAAAGUUUUGGGCGGCUCGAAGACGACUCAGCCAUAAACGUCCUAGUCUCAACCAUAAACGAUGCCGACCAGGGAAUGGCGGAUGGUUGCUUUUGGAUUCCGCCGCACUUUAAUGAGAAAUCAAAGUCUUUGGGUUCCGGGGGAGUAUGGUCGCAAGGCUGAAACUUUAAAGAAUUGACCGGAAGGCACCACCAGGAGUGGAGCCUGCGGCUUAAUUGAUCAACACGGGGAAACUUACCAGGUCCCAGACAUAGUAAGGAAUUGACAGACUGAGAAGCUCUUUCUUGAUUCUAUGGUGUGGUUGCAUGGGCCGUUCUUAGUUGGUGGAGCGAUUUGUCUGGUUUAAUUCCGUAACGAACGAGACCUCAAGCCUGCUAACUAGCUAUGCGGAGGUGACCCUCCGUGGGUGGGGCCAGCUUCCUUAGAGGGACUAUGGCCUUUUAGGCCAAGGAAGUUUGAAGCAAUAACAGGUCUGUGAUGCCUUAGAUGUUCCUUGGCCGCACGCGCGCUACCCACACUAGAUCGUUUCAACGAGUCCUAUAGCCUUGGCCGACAGGAGCCCGGGUAUCUUUGAAUUUCAUGCGUAUGGGGAUAGAUCAUUGCAAUUGUUGUCUUCUAACGAGGAAAUUCUAGUAAGCGCGAGUCAUCAGCUCGCGUUGACUACGUCCUAGCCUUUGUAACAAACUUUUACCGCCCGUCGCUCCUACCCGAUGAAUUGUUCCGGGUGAAGUGUUCGGAUCGCGGCGACGUGGGCGGUUCGCCGCCGGCGACGUGCGAGAAGUCCACUGAACCUUACAUUUAGAGGGAAGGAGAAGUCGUAACAAGGUUUGCCGUAGGUGAAAUUCCUGCGG